Molecule: ribosomal RNA, 529 nt
Filed under: uncultured Nitrososphaerota archaeon
Lineage: Archaea; Thermoproteati; Nitrososphaerota
Description: bacterial SSU rRNA
Rfam family: Archaeal small subunit ribosomal RNA
Source: RNAcentral
CUGGUGUCAGCCGCCGCGGUAAUACCAGCACCUCGAGUGGUCAGGACGUUUAUUGGGCCUAAAGCAUCCGUAGCCUGCUCUGCAAGUCUUCGGUUAAAUCCACCUGCUCAACAGAUGGGCUGCUGGAGAUACUACAGAGCUAGGGAGUGGGAGAGGCAGACGGUAUUCAGUGGGUAGGGGUAAAAUCCUCUGAUCCAUUGAGGACCACCAGUGGCGAAGGCGGUCUGCCAGAACACGUUCGACGGUGAGGGAUGAAAGCUGGGGGAGCAAACCGGAUUAGAUACCCGGGUAGUCCCAGCUGUAAACGAUGCAAACUCGGUGAUGCAUUGGCUUAUGGCCAAUGCAGUGCCGCAGGGAAGCCGUUAAGUUUGCCGCCUGGGAAGUACGGACGCAAGUCUGAAACUUAAAGGAAUUGGCGGGGGAGCACCACAAGGGGUGAAGCCUGCGGUUCAAUUGGAGUCAACGCCAGGAAUCUUACCCGGGGAGACAGCAGAAUGAAGGUCAAGCUGAAGACUUUACCAGACAAGCU